AUGCUUGCAUUCAAUGUUAGUCAAACUCAUUGCAACUUGAUGACUGUUGUUGCUCUCUAGUUGGUCGCUUCCCAGUCUUUUGCUAGCCUUCACUUGUACUAAGCGGAAUACUGCUUGUGCAUCCACUUCCAUAAACCCAAAAGUUUUUCCAUGAGAGUCCACCAUACCUACCUAUUUGCGGUAUCUACCUGUCGUUCCAAGUAAAUUUGCAUGUGCCACUCUC
RNAcentral lists this long non-coding RNA (223 nucleotides) under Hordeum vulgare. RNAcentral's name for it is "long non-coding RNA (HVUL_LNC009485)". The record is from RNAcentral. Lineage: Eukaryota; Viridiplantae; Streptophyta; Magnoliopsida; Poales; Poaceae.